AUUCAGGUGACGAGUCUCAUAUGAGACGAAACGCGCGUCCUGGAU
This 45-nucleotide non-coding RNA is filed under the name Schistosoma margrebowiei. The record is from RNAcentral. Lineage: Eukaryota; Metazoa; Platyhelminthes; Trematoda; Strigeidida; Schistosomatidae.